AGGCCCCUCCCUAAGCCCUGGAGCCUUCCCAAGCAAUGUCUUCCUCACCUCCUCCCCAGCCCCAAGUGGCACUGAGUUGGGAGUCUACGAAGCAGCAGUUGCUCCUGGUCCUGCCCAGGGACACCAGGGUCCCACUGAAGUCACACAGCAAGUCAGGACCACGCUGGGACAGGGACCAGGUCUCCACAGCCUGGGUGGGUCCAGGCCAGGAAGAGGCCCCCACCAGACCAAACCACACAGCCACCCUGGACCCCAGCUCCCAGAAGCACGGGGAAACAAACAUCCGUUGCCUAAACCCCAGGCUGACAUCUUGUCACAGUAGCCAGAGUGGACUCAGGUCCACAGCGGAGUCGAGGAAGGCUUCCUGCAGAGCCAAUGUGGCCAUCCUUGGGGGAGCCAGGCCGGGCCAACCCCUCUCCCACCACACAGCAGCCUGGCUGCAAAUGCGGGAAGCUUCUUGGGGACUUCAUGGCUCCACUGCAGGCACAGAGGCCAGCCUGGAUGAGAGACCAGGCACCCUCCGCAGUCCAGCCAGGGCCCUGGAGCAGGGCAAAGAGGCAGAAAGAUCACGGGUACUGAGCCCCAGAUUUCCGCUGCCCCUGCUGCCCUGGCAGAGGAAACAGAGAACAAGGCCCCCACCCACCCAGCUCCCACCCUGGGGGCAGCUUGGAAGUGGGGAUCUCGGCCAGGCUCUGAAUGACAGAAACCAUCAGGACAUGGAAAAACAAGACCUAUAAAGAAAUACACAUUUUAUACAUCAGUUUAAUUAAAGUACAUUAAAAUGAGUUUGCUUAAAUAAAAAAAAAAAUUA
This 811-nucleotide long non-coding RNA is filed under the name Heterocephalus glaber (naked mole-rat). RNAcentral's name for it is "lncRNA (ENSHGLG00100032963.1)". The record is from RNAcentral. Lineage: Eukaryota; Metazoa; Chordata; Mammalia; Rodentia; Bathyergidae.